GGUUUGAGGUUUCCUCGGCAGUUAACUGCCGAAGUUUUCAGUUUUCCUCGGUAGUUUACUGCCGAGGGGCAU
This is a microRNA precursor of Medicago truncatula (barrel medic), 72 nucleotides long. It matches the Rfam family "MIR2629 microRNA precursor family". Lineage: Eukaryota; Viridiplantae; Streptophyta; Magnoliopsida; Fabales; Fabaceae. The record is from Rfam.